GCUUCCUUAGUAUAAUUAGUACCGCUGACUUCCAAUCAGCAAGACCUGUAGAUAUAAUAGGAGAAAGUA
This 69-nucleotide transfer RNA is filed under the name Santamartamys rufodorsalis (red crested soft-furred spiny-rat). RNAcentral describes it as "tRNA-Gly". Lineage: Eukaryota; Metazoa; Chordata; Mammalia; Rodentia; Echimyidae. The record is from RNAcentral.